RNAcentral lists this ribosomal RNA (439 nucleotides) under uncultured bacterium. RNAcentral's name for it is "partial 16S ribosomal RNA". It matches the Rfam family "Bacterial small subunit ribosomal RNA", at positions 339 to 795 of the family's 1533-position model. The record is from RNAcentral.
CUACGGGGCGCACCAGUGGGGAAUCUUAGGCAAUGGGCGCAAGCCUGAUCUAGCCAUGCCGCGUGAGUGACGAAGGCCUUAGGGUCGUAAAGCUCUUUCGCUGGGGAAGAUAAUGACGGUACCCAGUAAAGAAACCCCGGCUAACUCCGUGCCAGCAGCCGCGGUAAUACGGAGGGGGUUAGCGUUGUUCGGAAUUACUGGGCGUAAAGCGCGCGUAGGCGGAUCAGAAAGUUGGGGGUGAAAUCCCGGGGCUCAACCCCGGAACUGCCUUCAAAACUCCUGGUCUUGAGUUCGAGAGAGGUGAGUGGAAUUCCGAGUGUAGAGGUGAAAUUCGUAGAUAUUCGGAGGAACACCAGUGGCGAAGGCGGCUCACUGGCUCGAUACUGACGCUGAGGUGCGAAAGCGUGGGGAGCAAACAGGAUUAGAUACCCUUGUAGUC